UAAUGAGGGGAGGAAAAGAAACUAACAAGGAUUUUCUUAGUAGCGGCGAGCGAAAAGAAAAUAGUUCAGCACUAAGUCACUUUGUCUUUAUGAUAAAUGUGAGAUGCAGUGUAUGGAAUGUCAAAUUUCUAGUAUGACAAGUUAACGAUUUAAGUCCUUCUUAAAUGAGGCCAUUUACCCAUAGAGGGUGCCAGGCCCGUAUAACGUUAAUGAUUACUAGAUGAUAUUUCCAAAGAGUCCUGUUGCUUGAUAAUGCAGCACCGAGUGGGUGGUAAACUCCAUCUAAAACUAAAUAUAACCAUGAGACCGAUAGUAAACAAAUACCGUGAGGGAAAGUUGAAAAAAACUCUGAAUAGAGAGUUUAAUAGUACGUGAAACUGCUUAAAAGUUUAGCCCGAUGAACCCGAAUAUCCAUUAUGGGAAAUUCAUCAUUAUGAUUAUAGUAUUUAUUUAUUAAAUAAUAUCAUACUGGUGCGCUUUUUUGCCAUAGAGGACUUUGUGAUCUAUUAAUAAAUGAAAAAUAUUUUUCAUAAGAUCAUUAGUGCAUAAGUUUACUCCAAUUAUUUGCCUUGCAAUCUAAAAUGGUGUAAAAUGUAUUUGAUUUGAUAAAGUAUUGAUAGAUUUAUUAAUAUAUAUAGUGCUCAAAAUAUAUGUAUGUAUGUGCAUAUUAUUUUAUAAUGUGUGUGUAUGUAUAUUAUAUUUUUAUAAUGGUCAUAUUAAUCUUAAUUAAUUUUUAUGUAUAAAUUAUAUGCACUUAUAUGAUUAACAAUGCGAAGGAUUCAGGAUACCUUCGGGACCCGUCUUGAAA
RNAcentral lists this ribosomal RNA (808 nucleotides) under Cephenemyia stimulator. RNAcentral describes it as "partial large subunit ribosomal RNA". It matches the Rfam family "Eukaryotic large subunit ribosomal RNA", at positions 44 to 659 of the family's 3401-position model. Lineage: Eukaryota; Metazoa; Arthropoda; Insecta; Diptera; Oestridae. The record is from RNAcentral.